This 1820-nucleotide long non-coding RNA is filed under the name Cricetulus griseus (Chinese hamster). Its description in RNAcentral is "lncRNA (ENSCGRG00015036045.1)". Lineage: Eukaryota; Metazoa; Chordata; Mammalia; Rodentia; Cricetidae. The record is from RNAcentral.
UGAGACACAGGGACCUUCACAGGCCAAGCCUGUGUUUGUCCCGAGCCUCUCCACCUUGUCUUUUUGGAACUUUCUACUAAACAGGGCAGAGUUCAUGGGUAGGAGGCACCGGGUUACUUGACUUGAGGCAGGAUGAUAAGGAAAUACCAGGCAGGCGGAGAAGAUCAUGCUUUGCAGAGAUAGGGAGGCUGUUCCUGGUGUUGCUUUGCAGAGCCCCAGACUGAGGGACACCAGGUGUCAAUGGAGGCCAAAAGAGAACAUUGGAUCCCUUGGAGCUGGAAUUACAGGUGGCUGUGAACUUUGAACUCGACUGGGGUCCUUUGGAAGAACAGUGCAUGCUCCCAACUACUGAACCAUCUUUUUAGCGCUGAGACCAGGACUUUCUUGAAAGCAACUUCUGCUGGGCAUCAGGCCUCUCUGUCAGUCGAGUGCUGCACCUGUGUGCUUGCCUAUCACCGCCCGUGUCAUUAGGGAGACUGCUUAGCUCAGCUGCAGAAGAAUCCUAGUCCUUAGCACCUUUGGUGUGAAGUCCUGCUGGGCCAAGUGGGUUUCCAAGGAGCUGUUUCUAGCCAAGUCUCCAUAUGCCUGGUGGGUAGGUGUAGAAACCCGAGGAAGGCUUGGCAGGGGAUCUGCAGUGGGAACUGUUACAACCCAAACAAUCACCGUGUACACAGUGCUUCACAUUGUCUCUUGCAUUUACCUGGAAACAGUCACUGGAAACUACAAGACUGUGCAACCCCUAGAAAUGGCUAUGCUACCGAAAAUGCCCGGGACUUGCUGGACAGCUUGCUAUAGUGUCUUCUAGGCAUCUGAAAAGCCACUGAGUAUUUAAAGUGUCACCUCAAGGGAAACAUACCCAGCCAGUCUUUCCACUAGUGAACUGAAACAAAGAUUUUUGGUCAUCUGACUGACCUCCUAGUGCCUUGUUCUGAACUCCACAACUCGGUUUCUUUCUAACGAGUUUUCAGUUCAAGGUCAGAUGCAGUUUGGAAGGAAGCAUUCCUCACAAGCCAGGUGUAAGGACACGUGCUUUGUGAGAGCCUCAGCCUUUGGACUCCAUUCUGGACUUUGACCGCUGUGUGGAGUGCUAGAGAAAUGUGGCCAGGCUGACUCACUACACAGGCUCCCAGACAGUGAGUGGGCAGAACUCGCCUGGAUAGAACCUGGCAAGCUUGGACUUGACCACUGACUGACUCUGCAGUAGCAGAGAAGGCAGCGACAGUAACCACAGGAGCCCCCACCCUAGAUCUUCAGGGGCAGCAUCUCUCUACUUUCUUCUGCUGUGGGUCACCUCUGAUGCCUGCCAAGCUUUCUCACUAUCCUCAAGAGCCCAGACUGUUGGGCCUCAUCCACAGUAGAUGCUGGAAUCAUUGAUGCCCAGGGUGGCUGUGUCAGUUUUUCCCUGGUUCUGUAAUGUCUAUCCCUGGUCACUCUGGGCAGCCAGGUGGGCAAUGAGUGGCCAAGUGUAGGAGAGAGGACACAGGAGGCCAAAAAAGAAAUGGGUGCAUGAACCUGGGUCUGAGGGCUUAGCUGAUGAACACUGAACUUCUGGGAUUUAAGCAUUCCAGACUGUGUUGCUACAGGAUCUUUAGCUCCUUUGAGAAAAUAAAAACAUUCCUACUGUGGACUUCUUAGAACCCAGAUACUGUCAUUUGUGUGUUUCUUCCUAAGGCCAGGUAGAGAGGGCCAGAGAGAAGGCUCAGUGUCAAGAGCAUUGGCUGUUCUUGCAGAGGACCCAGUUCAGUUGCUAGCACCCACAUGCUGGCCUGCAACAUUUAUAUAGUUCCAGGGGAUCUGACACACUCUCUGGCUUCUGUGAA